UUUUACAAUGGAGAGUUUGAUCCUGGCUCAGGAUGAACGCUAGCUAUAGGCUUAACACAUGCAAGUCGAGGGGAAACGGCAUUAUGUGCUUGCACAUUUUGGACGUCGACCGGCGCACGGGUGAGUAUCGCGUAUCCAACCUGCCCUUUACUUGGGGAUACCCCGUUGAAAGACGGCCUAAUACCCGAUGUAAUUCAUUGAUGGCAUCAGAUAUGAAUAAAAGAUUUAUCGGUAAAGGAUGGGGAUGCGUCUGAUUAGCUUGUUGGUGAGGUAAAGGCUCACCAAGGC
This 288-nucleotide ribosomal RNA is filed under the name Prevotella pallens. RNAcentral describes it as "partial 16S ribosomal RNA". It matches the Rfam family "Bacterial small subunit ribosomal RNA", at positions 1 to 274 of the family's 1533-position model. The record is from RNAcentral. Lineage: Bacteria; Pseudomonadati; Bacteroidota; Bacteroidia; Bacteroidales; Prevotellaceae.